GUGUGUUCCAGGUAAAUCCGGUUCACUUUAACACUGAGGCGUGACGACGAGGCACUACGGUGCUGAAGCAACAAAUGCCCUGCUUCCAGGAAAAGCCUCUAAGCAUCAGGUAACAUCAAAUCGUACCCCAAACCGACACAGGUGGUCAGGUAGAGAAUACCAAGGCGCUUGAGAGAACUCGGGUGAAGGAACUAGGCAAAAUGGUGCCGUAACUUCGGGAGAAGGCACGCUGACACGUAGGUGAAGUGAUUUACUCACGGAGCUGAAGUCAGUCGAAGAUACCAGCUGGCUGCAACUGUUUAUUAAAAACACAGCACUGUGCAAACACGAAAGUGGACGUAUACGGUGUGACGCCUGCCCGGUGCCGGAAGGUUAAUUGAUGGGGUCAGCGCAAGCGAAGCUCCUGAUCGAAGCCCCGGUAAACGGCGGCCGUAACUAUAACGGUCCUAAGGUAGCGAAAUUCCUUGUCGGGUAAGUUCCGACCUGCACGAAUGGCGUAAUGAUGGCCAGGCUGUCUCCACCCGAGACUCAGUGAAAUUGAACUCGCUGUGAAGAUGCAGUGUACCCGCGGCAAGACGGAAAGACCCCGUGAACCUUUACUAUAGCUUGACACUGAACAUUGAGCCUUGAUGUGUAGGAUAGGUGGGAGGCUUUGAAGUGUGGACGCCAGUCUGCAUGGAGCCGACCUUGAAAUACCACCCUUUAAUGUUUGAUGUUCUAACGUGGACCCGUAAUCCGGGUUGCGGACAGUGUCUGGUGGGUAGUUUGACUGGGGCGGUCUCCUCCUAAAGAGUAACGGAGGAGCACGAAGGUUGGCUAAUCCUGGUCGGACAUCAGGAGGUUAGUGCAAUGGCAUAAGCCAGCUUGACUGCGAGCGUGACGGCGCGAGCAGGUGCGAAAGCAGGUCAUAGUGAUCCGGUGGUUCUGAAUGGAAGGGCCAUCGCUCAACGGAUAAAAGGUACUCCGGGGAUAACAGGCUGAUACCGCCCAAGAGUUCAUAUCGACGGCGGUGUUUGGCACCUCGAUGUCGGCUCAUCACAUCCUGGGGCUGAAGUAGGUCCCAAGGGUAUGGCUGUUCGCCAUUUAAAGUGGUACGCGAGCUGGGUUUAGAACGUCGUGAGACAGUUCGGUCCCUAUCUGCCGUGGGCGCUGGAGAACUGAGGGGGGCUGCUCCUAGUACGAGAGGACCGGAGUGGACGCAUCACUGGUGUUCGGGUUGUCAUGCCAAUGGCACUGCCCGGUAGCUAAAUGCGGAAGAGAUAAGUGCUGAAAGCAUCUAAGCACGAAACUUGCCCCGAGAUGAGUUCUCCCUGAGACUUUAGGUCUCCUGAAGGAACGUUGAAGACGACGACGUUGAUAGGCCGGGUGUGUAAGCGCAGCGAUGCGUUGAGCUAACCGGUACUAAUGAACCGUGAGGCUUAACCUUACAACGCCGAAG
RNAcentral lists this ribosomal RNA (1438 nucleotides) under Salmonella enterica subsp. enterica serovar Corvallis. RNAcentral's name for it is "partial 23S ribosomal RNA". It matches the Rfam family "Bacterial large subunit ribosomal RNA", at positions 1525 to 2925 of the family's 2925-position model. The record is from RNAcentral. Lineage: Bacteria; Pseudomonadati; Pseudomonadota; Gammaproteobacteria; Enterobacterales; Enterobacteriaceae.